This is a long non-coding RNA of Biomphalaria glabrata, 2887 nucleotides long. RefSeq lists it as uncharacterized. The transcript has 7 exons. Lineage: Eukaryota; Metazoa; Mollusca; Gastropoda; Planorbidae. The record is from RefSeq and is a predicted model, not a curated record.
GAAGAUUUCCUUCUUCUUCUAGCCAGCUUUUUGUUGCUGAGCUGUAAGCUCCUUUGCGAUCUGUGCCAAGGAAAAAUUAGAAUGUUUUUUUUAGCUGUUCCACACUGCCAUACUGAGUGUUGGUUAUGAUAGGUUGUUGUAAUAUUGUCUGCCUAAGGUGAAUUAGAUUGGAGCAUUCAAAGAAGAUAUGAUUGACAGUUUCAAGAGGCUGGGCGCAAUGUUUGCGGUUUAUUCUGUUAUGGUGAAAAUGUAAAGCUUUGUGUCCUGUUCUAAGUUGAAAGAAAGUAGAUAGCUGUAUUAAGGGGAUGAAAUUGAUACUGUUUAGAUAAAGCUUGUUUUUGCAUGGUCAUGCAAUUAAUUGCUUGCUAACAUUGAGUUUUGAGUGUGGCAAUUAAAUGGUCUGUUGGGUUUUUCCAUGGAUAAUUUGCCUAUUCAUUUCCCAUGAUGCCUAUGUUACCAAAGAUCUAUUGUAAUGUCACAGUGAUGUUAAAAUUCAACAUUAUAUAAGAUAAGAUAAUGUUUAUUGAUCCAAUCUAAUGGAAAUUCAGUUUGACUACAAUUGACAACCUCAGCGUAACUACUGUACUGUAUAGGUUAUCAAGAUUUCUUGGGCUAGAUGAGUCUGUUAAGACAAUAAUCUCUGAUAGUGAUAGUUGUUAAAGACUUUGUUUCUUACUGUCUGUAAAGAAAUAAGAGAUUGCAUCCAUUUCGGCUUCAAAGCAGCACUAGGGUACUUAAGUAUAAAGUUAAUAACAUUUGGUGAAGCAUAAGCUCUUAAAUCAUAGAGUUCUGAACUGCCAACGUUGACCAGGUACUAAGCUAACAUCUGACUGUGCCAUACAGGUCCCUCCAGAAAAAAAAAGCUUCCAAGCCAGUAGAGUUAUUUUGGUCUGUAGACCUGUAUUGUUACCCAGGGUAAUGUCAGAGCCUAUCUUUGUUUCACCAGAUUUUGUUCACUUUUUUCUGUCAGCAAUUAUUGUGCUUAUGUUAUAUGUCAUGUUUCAUUUGUUUUAGGAGGCCUGGUAAAUGCUAGCCCUCCAAGCCGGGGGUCCCGGGUUCAACUCUUGGUGAAGACUGGAAUUUUUCAUUUCAGGAUCUUUGGGCGCCUUAAUUGGUACCUGACAUUAAGUGGGGAAAAGUAAAGGCUGUUAGUCAUCAUGCAGGCCUUGUGACACUGUGGGUCACAGAAACAGAUAACCCUAUAUUUCACUAAGGGGAACUUUACUGACAACACUUUUUUAUUUGUUUAACAUUUAAGCUUCAAACACCAUUUACAUUACCUGUUAAAAGAAUCCCACUUUGUAAACUUUUCUAUUUAAAUGUUAAAAUGGUUAAAGUCCACGUGAUAAAGAUGUAAAGAAAGAUGAUUUCAAGUGAUGAUUGUCUCACACCACUCUCUCAAACUUAAAAGAUGUUGCAUUGUUUUCAAUUUUUUAGGUAACAAAGACAAGAGUUUUCUUUAAAAUUAUCUAUUGAUAAUGCUUAAUUUUUUUUUAUUAAGUUUAAGGACCACAGCUGCUCCAAGCCCCCAACAGUAGACUGCAUCAGUGAAGGAGAAGAGGAGGAUGAAAGCAAUUUAUCUUGAACAACUGAAAAAAGAGACAUUGACAUCCAGACAGACAUGAACACUGCAAAUGGUUUAGAUGAGAUAAGAAAAUGUGCGAUGGAUAAGCUUGAAAUCAGUCAAGAUAGGAAAAGCAUGGACCUAGUGUAGCAAGAGAAAUGUGUUCAACAGAAUAAUGACCAGCCGAAACGUGAAGAAGAACUUUUAAAAGAUAAGCUGGAUGAAUUGAUCUCUAAAGAGAAAUCGCUGUCACGACAAAGGGAUAGUAAAACAGACAUAGAGAAAAAACUAUUGGAAAGUAAGGUCCGAGAGCUUGAGGAGAAACUCCUGGUGAUAAGCCCAGAGAUGUUUGAACAGGAAAUACAGAUUUAUUUUUAGAACCAGUCACUUAAAGAAAAGAUGGAGGAGGAAAUAAACACAAUGAAAGCUUGACUAGCCCUAAGUUCAGAACAUUGCAGUAGAAUAAAGGUUGAUACAGAAGUCAAAGUGUAAAAAAUAGAAAAUAUGCAAACUAUGUUACAAAUGGAGUAAACAAAAUAUUUUUUAUUCCUCAGAAUCAUGAAUCUCAGCUGACAGCCAAAGAAGAAGAACUGCAAAGAGUGAACAUGACUCUUCAGAAAUUUGAAAAAGACAACAAAGUUUUACAAGCUAUGUUGAAGCACACAGAAGUUUGUGAGCAGAAAGCUCCUGAAGUGCCAAAUUUUCAAGUUAUUAAGAAAAUUGAAUCAGCCUAUAGCCGCAAGAUGUAAGAGUUCGAGAGGUCAAUCUUUGGCAAAGAUAAAAAAGUAGCUGAGUUAUUAUUUGAAGUAGCACAAUUAAAAGAGGAACUUCACCUUCCCAGGGAAACAGAUGCAUCUGUUUUAAAAGACAGGAAUUGCAAUAAAAUGGAUGCUGCUGAGGCAUUUCAAGAAUUUCUGAGUGCUGUGCCUAUGCAAGGAGGUGCUAUUGGUGAGCCUGGAGAGAAAAAAAUGGCUCGGUUAGAGGAAGAACUCUAAUAAAAGAAACAAAAAUGCCAGAAAUAAAUGAACAAUCUUGGAGAAGUAAAAAAAAGUGAAUGAACUAAUAACAUCCUUUUAAAGAGUCACUGUUUUUGUAAAAGCUGUAUAAAGUUUGUUUUUUUAUACCAAUCAAUGGUUAUAAUUCAAAUGAAAGCCACUUCAUUCUUCUUAAAAAAUCCAGUACAAGAGAUACAGUAGGCCUACUUGUAAGCAUGUCAAUGAUUGGUUGAAUCCUACCAGUAUUUGAAUAAACAUAUAUUUUAGUUUAAUGCCCAAGAUUGGCAUUGACUCUAGACAAAUAAUUGUGUUUAUACACAGUUUGACU